This 497-nucleotide ribosomal RNA is filed under the name uncultured bacterium. RNAcentral's name for it is "partial 16S ribosomal RNA". It matches the Rfam family "Bacterial small subunit ribosomal RNA", at positions 28 to 507 of the family's 1533-position model. The record is from RNAcentral.
GAUGAACGCUGGCGGCGUGCCUAACACAUGCAAGUCGAACGGACGGACGGUAAGCUUGUGCCCUUGCGGUUAGCGGCGGGCGGGCGAGUAACGCGUGGAUAACCAACUUCUAUUUCUGGGGGAAUUACGGGAAACCGGAGAUAAUAACAGCGAAUAUGUUGUACCGCAGGGAUCAAGAGUGCAUGGCGCCCUUCGUGUCACAAAUAGAUGGAUCCGCGCUGCAUUAGCUAGUUGGUAAGGUAACGGCCUACCAAGGCGACGAUGCGUAGCCGAUCUGAGAGGAUGAUCGGCCACACUGGAACUGAGACACGGUCCAGACUCCUACGGGAGGCAGCAGUAGGGAAUCUUGGGCAAUGGGCGAAAGCCUGACGGAGCCAUGCCGCGUGGGUGAUGAAGGCCUUCGGGUCGUAAAGCCCUGUUAUUGGGGAAGAACAGCUGUGGGUGAAACCGUGGCUGUUUUGACGGUACCUAAUGAGAAAGCCACGGCUAACUACGUG